RNAcentral lists this ribosomal RNA (1482 nucleotides) under Triticum aestivum (bread wheat). RNAcentral's name for it is "partial small subunit ribosomal RNA". The record is from RNAcentral. Lineage: Eukaryota; Viridiplantae; Streptophyta; Magnoliopsida; Poales; Poaceae.
AUGCCUCGGAUGGUCAAAUGUGGAGGCAAUUUUAGAAAGUGCCUCCAAAAGUCAGAACGCCUCAACAAAACUGAACUGGGCAACCAUUCAGCGCGACUCUGCUGCAACGACCACAACACACACAGCAGGCUGGCGCUGGGACUGCUGCGCCACCUCAUCGGGGGGAGACUAGUAUACAAUCUGAGUUUACCGUGGAAGAAUAGAAAAAAGAUCCUGGGCCAUUGGAUUUGGGAUGUAUGGCAUAGAUUAGAGAGGUGGGAUCUGUACAGAUCGUGUGCAAAACUUUCCCUUUGCUCCCCACGAAUUUGCUUCAGGUCCUUCUUCUCCUCCCUCAAACGACACAUCUCUCUAUCGCUCUCCUGUUCCCCUAUCGCUCGCCGAACCUGGCGGCUGCCCAGAUCCGGUGAUUCCCUGGUGGACGACGACUACUCCCACGACUGCUCCCUGCCUCCCCCCUCCCAAUCCGGCAUUCAGGUCAGUUAUCUCCAUCUCCCGGUCACCCCAUCGUCGCGCUGCACAUCAUCGUCAGGGAAAAGGCCACAGCCGCCACGGUGUUCUCCUCCCCGGUGGCCGCGAGUGCCCCGCCCGCUAAGCUGUUCACUCUUAUCUUUCCGCAGGCAAUCUGGUAGUGCUCGAGCGCGUGGUGAUGCCACCACGGUAUCCUCCUCCCCGGUGCUCCUAGGUCCAGCAUUAGCUCACCGGAGCCAAGCCGGUGACGCUCGAUCUGCUCGCCUCCUUCGCCUCGCAUGCUCAGCAAGCGACAUCAAGAUGAUCCAAAGCACUGUCCAGGACAAGUCGCCGGCUGCGCUGCUUGUAGAUGAAAUUAAACUGCUCCUCGGACUUGACCUGGAGCAUGCAAUAAAGCAUUGGGGGUCACUUCAGUCCUUCACACUUGGGGUUCGCUGUUCAUGUCGUGGAAAAGGAUGUCAUGUUAUGUACCAAAAACAGCACGCGUGGAAAAAGCGACAUGGCGCACGGCAGUUUUGGCGCCCGUCGUCCACCGCAUUGGAUAAAAACGGUGCGCGGGCGCCCGCCAACUGCCAUCUUCCUCGUCUCGACUUUUGCCGCCACGUCUUCUUCCUUGCUGCCGCCGUGCCUUCUCCCCCUGCCGCCGCCAUGCCGCAGCGCCCCCGAAGCAGGUCCGGCUUCCGCGACGUUCGCCUCCACCCCUCCGGCUUGUAUUUUGCGAAGGUCCGCUCCGGCGAUACACGCCUUGGGCUCGGGACGUUCGAGACCGCCCACGAGGCCGCCCGCCCGUACGACGCGGCUGCAUGGCGCCUCGAGAGGAUGUCGUCGCUGAGAACGAGUUCUGGGCGCAAAGGAGGGCGAAGCGAGCCGCGCGUCAGGCGGACAAGCAUGAGCGAAAGACACUGGCGAAAGCCCGGUGCGAGCUUGAACAUGCGUCAACCUGGGACGAGGACGAUGUGGUUGGUCGACGCGUUUACGUCGUCGGACUACACCACCGAGGAAGAUGACGAGUAG